RNAcentral lists this long non-coding RNA (1468 nucleotides) under Cricetulus griseus (Chinese hamster). Its description in RNAcentral is "lncRNA (ENSCGRG00015029899.1)". The record is from RNAcentral. Lineage: Eukaryota; Metazoa; Chordata; Mammalia; Rodentia; Cricetidae.
AAGCAAGAACCGCUAGCGGGAGACGCUCUCCAAGAGCGCUUUGCGGUGAUUCCGCUCUGGGCUCGUUUUGAACGGUGUGUGGCUCGCCAUGUUCAGAGAAGAUCGUGGUCCAAACCCCCAUUUUAUGAACAAAGAAACUGAGGCCCCGAGUUAAGUGCAGACUUGCCUAACGUGGCAGUCAAGAGAGGACGCCAAUGCUAACACGGUGGAGAGAGAAGUCCUAGCUCCGGGGCCGGAUUCUUUCCCCACCUACACCAGAAAGAACACUUUAAUUCCAAUGGAACUCCUGGCCCAGCCCGCGGGCGUGGGACACAGAACAGAGUCAGGUAGGCAGGAGAAAGCUUCCACACCCGAGACCGCCUGGACCUCAAGGAGGAGUUUUUCCGACAGUGCUGGAUGCAAAUUAAAUAUUUCCCUCCACUGGAGACUUAUCUCAGGGCACUGCCCCGCCCGUAUAUUCAAAUCGCUGGUUUGGGGUUUUGACUUCUGCUCCGCGCCGAGCGCGCGCGGGAAGCAGAGCUUGCCACCUGCUGCCUCCAGCUCCGCCAUCUUUCCUCCCUGAGUCUACCUCACCUGCAUCCCAGGCUCCUGGUCAUCUCUUGUUAUUGUUCUCCCGCCUUCCUGCAAACUUAACUCUUAGCUGCUUGACCGGCUUAGAAGAAGGAACGGCAUAUUCUCGGGCCCUGUCCCUCAUACUUAGGCUGAGUCCACCAGGGGCAAGGAGCAUCCAGCCUAGUCACCUCUCAGGACAUGCCCUAUUGGUCCACAGCACAGAAUGGCAUCUCCUUUGGGUCAGUACAGUGUCCCAGAACCAUGUCACUAAUACUCCUCAUUUAGGAGCUAAAAGGAUGCUGCUCCGGCCCUCCACCCGCGGCAGUGGGAUCCUGGAUGGCGGCCAUAGAAUUUCGUCUUGCCAAGUGAUAUGGACAUCACACUAAAGGAAGAUAAGCCACAGCUGUGUGUUCCCAGCUCCCGCUCACCACUGUUUCAAACUUCGAUAAUACUGAAGAAUUCUUCAAAAUCUCACUUUAGGCUCUAGACAGCCAAGACCACUCGGAGAGUCUGCUCAAGUACCCAGACUUCAACUGCCUCCAGACCUUCUUCCCCACAGCUUGGAUUUUUCCCUCUUCCGAAACACUGGGAUAGAAUGCUGCUGAGUGAGCCUACAGAGCAAUGGAUGACAGAAUCAUUUCUUUUCAGACUUGCUAUGCCCCACUAGCAAUGGCAUGAUUCUUGUUUUAUGCAGUGAUUUGGAAACAUGGUCCCUUAUACUCCAGGUACUGGGAUCACAGUCAUGAAUCACCAAGAUUUUUUGUCUUAAAAUGUUGCUCAGGCUAGUCUUGAACUCAAGAUGGUCUUUCUGCCUUAGUGCUGAGUGUGCCAUCAUGCUCAGCAAAUGCACGGCCAAUUUUAUUUUCUAGCGCUAUGGGUGUUAUUAUGCAGGCAUCUGUACUGGCCUGCCCAUGAG